GCCCCCGACAGGUUCUGACCCGGCCUCCCCCUGUGCCCGUCUCACCCGGUUCUGAGCCCUGAGACCUGUUCCCGCCCCGACAGGUUCUGACCCGGCCUCCCCCCGUGCCCGUCUCACCCGGUUCUGAGCCCUGAGAUCUGUUCCCGCCCCCGACAGGUUCUGACCCGGCCUCCCCCCGUGCCCGGCUCACCCGGUUCUGAGCCCUGAGACCCUCCCCCGCCCCGACAGGUUCUGACCCGGCCUCCCCCCGUGCCCGGCUCACCCGGUUCUGAGCCCUGAGACCCACCCCCGCCCCGACAGGUUCUGACCCGGCCUCCCCCCGUGCCCGGCUCACCCGGUUCUGAGCCCUGAGACCUGUUCCCGCCCCGACAGGUUCUGACCCGGCCUCCCCCCGUGCCCGGCUCACCCGGUUCUGAGCCCUGAGACCCUCCCCCGCCCCGACAGGUUCUGACCCGGCCUCCCCCCGUGCCCGGCUCACCCGGUUCUGAGCCCUGAGACCUGUUCCCGCCCCGACAGGUUCUGACCCGGCCUCCCCCCGUGCCCGGCUCACCCGGUUCUGAG
Long non-coding RNA from Gopherus flavomarginatus (Mexican gopher tortoise), 561 nucleotides. RefSeq lists it as uncharacterized. The transcript is spliced from 3 exons. Lineage: Eukaryota; Metazoa; Chordata; Testudines; Testudinidae. The record is from RefSeq and is a predicted model, not a curated record.